GCUGGGUGUGGUGGCGUGCACCUGUAAUCCCAGCUACUUGGGAGGCUCAGGUAGGAGAAUCGCUUGAACCCAGGAGGCAGAGGUUGCAGUGAGCCGAGAUCGCGCCACUGCAGUCCAGCCUGGGUGACAGAGCAAGACUCUAUCUCUC
Macaca fascicularis (crab-eating macaque) is the source of this 148-nucleotide unclassified non-coding RNA. It matches the Rfam family "Metazoan signal recognition particle RNA". From Rfam's summary of the family: The signal recognition particle (SRP) is a universally conserved ribonucleoprotein. It is involved in the co-translational targeting of proteins to membranes. Lineage: Eukaryota; Metazoa; Chordata; Mammalia; Primates; Cercopithecidae. The record is from Ensembl.